This 773-nucleotide ribosomal RNA is filed under the name uncultured bacterium. RNAcentral describes it as "bacterial SSU rRNA". It matches the Rfam family "Bacterial small subunit ribosomal RNA", at positions 60 to 846 of the family's 1533-position model. The record is from RNAcentral.
AGUCGAACGAGCGAGAGAGAGCUUGCUUUCUCGAGCGAGUGGCGAACGGGUGAGUAACGCGUGAGGAACCUGCCUCAAAGAGGGGGACAACAGUUGGAAACGACUGCUAAUACCGCAUAAGCCCACGGGUCGGCAUCGACCAGAGGGAAAAGGAGUGAUCCGCUUUGAGAUGGCCUCGCGUCCGAUUAGCUAGUUGGUGAGGUAACGGCCCACCAAGGCGACGAUCGGUAGCCGGACUGAGAGGUUGAACGGCCACAUUGGGACUGAGACACGGCCCAGACUCCUACGGGAGGCAGCAGUGGGGAAUAUUGCACAAUGGGGGAAACCCUGAUGCAGCGACGCCGCGUGGAGGAAGAAGGUCUUCGGAUUGUAAACUCCUGUUGUUGGGGAAGAUAAUGACGGUACCCAACAAGGAAGUGACGGCUAACUACGUGCCAGCAGCCGCGGUAAAACGUAGGUCACAAGCGUUGUCCGGAAUUACUGGGUGUAAAGGGAGCGCAGGCGGGAAGACAAGUUGGAAGUGAAAUCCAUGGGCUCAACCCAUGAACUGCUUUCAAAACUGUUUUUCUUGAGUAGUGCAGAGGUAGGCGGAAUUCCCGGUGUAGCGGUGGAAUGCGUAGAUAUCGGGAGGAACACCAGUGGCGAAGGCGGCCUACUGGGCACCAACUGACGCUGAGGCUCGAAAGUGUGGGUAGCAAACAGGAUUAGAUACCCUGGUAGUCCACACCGUAAACGAUGAUUACUAGGUGUUGGAGGAUUGACCCCUUCAGUGC